Non-coding RNA from Labrus bergylta (ballan wrasse), 1784 nucleotides. The record is from RefSeq and is a predicted model, not a curated record. NCBI's taxonomy places the organism in Eukaryota, Metazoa, Chordata, Actinopteri, Labriformes, Labridae.
AGUUGUUUUGGUUUCAUGCUGGUGCUCAAGGGCGACAUCUGCUGGAUCAAAAAAAAAUGCAUAUAAAGCCUUUAAGUUGAACUGUGUUUCAUGAUUUUACUGUUGGAAACCAAAUUCAUCCUUUUUAUUUUUUUAGUCGGGGACUUGAUUUGGUCCGGGGUUGGGAUCUCAGGUUGUUUAUUGAUGGCGCACUUACAACAGUGAUGUGGUUUGUGACGGCAGAACAAAAGCUCCGCGCUCAUGAUGGAAAUGUUUGCACUCGUCUGAUCAGCACUUUGAAGAUAAGACUGUUGGCGUCCAUCGAGGGAGGAUAAGUCUGCCAAGGACCUGAUUACUUUAACUGGAUAUAGGCUGCAGAGGAUCCUCUUGAUAGUGGGACAAUAGGCUUUUAAUGAUAACGUGCGAGUGAGCUGAUUGUGAGAACACAGCAGGAUAUAAUCAGGAGAAUUCACCUCGAUUGAGUGGGAGGGGGGUGGUGACAUUUGGAUUCUGUGAUCGGUGCACGAUUCGUAGACUGUCUGCAUGUCACCUCUACCAUCUCCGUGCUCUACUGAACCUGCUGCAUUAUGUUUCCUGUUCUCCAGGAUGUUCUUCUCCACUCUUUGGUCGAUAUUGUGAUGCCAUCAAACUAAACGCAGCAUUGAUAGAAAGGCAAAUAUUCUCAGUAUCACGCUGUUGUGCCUUCCAUUGAUACCCACCCCCACAGUUCUGCUGUCUGAUAAGGAUGUUCUCCCGCUGUGAGGUGUAUGUGUGAACAACCAGAUCAGGAGGAUUUUAAGUGGCAGUCUGCCUGCUGUGUGCCUCACUGUGAGAAGAAGAAAACAUCAGUGUUCUCUCUGAGGCUUUAAAAAAAAUGGUAUCUGUCUGAUUUGUGCACUGACUGGCGUUCUCUCUCUCCCUGAGCUGAUAUCACAUUUAAGCCUGUAGUAGAUCCAUCGGACAUGUUGGCAUAGGAAGUGUGAAAUAACACCGAGCCGCAGACACUUAAGCUCCCUCGCUGCUGCAGCAGCAGGGGAAGCUCUGUGCCUCCGUCUCUGAGCAAAAUGGCAACCUGACAUGAUGCUAACCCCCUGAUGUAUUAUGCACAUGUGGAUUAAAACAUGGAUUUUUUUUUUUUUUUUUCAAAUAUAUCCCCAGGAUUUGUCCCAUCGUAAUCGAUUCCCGACCCGGGACUAAAGUCAACAUCUGAUUGGUGCAUCUCUCUCGUUCGUAGUCCAGACUACUGGCUCACAAUCCCUUUAAAACACAUCAUCGACAGUCCUGUUUCUCUCUCAGCUGGAACACAAACUGCAUAAUUCACUGAGCUUUUGCGCUUCUGUUUUAAUGUGUGAAAAGAAAAUAUGAACAUGUAGUAUGUGUAAACAUAACUUAGAUUUAUAUACAAGGAGAUAACAAUUGUGACUAAAACCUUUGCUGCACUUAUAGGUCCUUAAAGAACCCAUCUUGAAACAGCAGCCUAGUUAAGCGACUGCUUUCAGACUUUUAUCCUGUGUAAAUAUUGAGAUUACAUUUUAUUUUUCCAUUGGUUUUUUUUCUCUUCCUUAAAAAAGAAACAAGUGUCAUGUUCUGUAAGAUAAGAUAAUAAUGUUUAUGAAAGGGGUUCAUUCAUAAUAAUGUUUUGCACAUGUUCAGAAGAUAUUUGAUCUACUAAAAUGCUCUGCAGAUCAAACGUCAGUGGACAUGUGUAAAUUGUAAUCUUAGUUCAAGUUUUAGCUCAAGUUUGAAGCACUUGUCUCUCGCUAUGCUCUGGAAAAUCACAUUAAUAAACCUGAAGCUAAAGAAUU